GAUCAUGCUCAGGAUGAACGCUAGCUACAGGCUUAACACAUGCAAGUCGAGGGGCAGCAUGAACUUAGCUUGCUAAGUUUGAUGGCGACCGGCGCACGGGUGAGUAACACGUAUCCAACCUUCCGUUUACUCAGGGAUAGCCUUUCGAAAGAAAGAUUAAUACCUGAUAGUAUGGUAAGAUUGCAUGAUAGCACCAUUAAAGAUUUAUUGGUAAACGAUGGGGAUGCGUUCCAUUAGG
RNAcentral lists this ribosomal RNA (238 nucleotides) under uncultured bacterium. RNAcentral's name for it is "partial 16S ribosomal RNA". It matches the Rfam family "Bacterial small subunit ribosomal RNA", at positions 15 to 245 of the family's 1533-position model. The record is from RNAcentral.